Molecule: ribosomal RNA, 438 nt
Filed under: uncultured bacterium
Lineage: Bacteria
Description: partial 16S ribosomal RNA
Rfam family: Bacterial small subunit ribosomal RNA
Source: RNAcentral
CUACGGGAGGCAGCAGUGAGGAAUAUUGCACAAUGGAGGAAACUCUGAUGCAGCAACGCCGCGUGGAGGAUGACGCAUUUCGGUGUGUAAACUCCUUUUAUAUGUCAAGAAAAUGACGGUAGCAUAUGAAUAAGCACCGGCUAACUCCGUGCCAGCAGCCGCGGUAAUACGGAGGGUGCAAGCGUUACUCGGAAUCACUGGGCGUAAAGGACGCGUAGGCGGGAUAUCAAGUCAGGUGGGAAAUCCUACAGCUUAACUGUAGAACUGCACUUGAAACUGGUAACCUAGAGUAUGGGAGGGGAGAUGGAAUUAGUGGUGUAGGGGUAAAAUCCGUAGAUAUCACUAGGAAUACCUAAAGCGAAGGCGAUCUCCUGGAACAUAACUGACGCUAAGGCGUGAAAGCGUGGGGAGCAAACAGGAUUAGAUACCCGGGUAGUC